Molecule: long non-coding RNA, 593 nt
Organism: Hirundo rustica (Barn swallow)
Lineage: Eukaryota; Metazoa; Chordata; Aves; Passeriformes; Hirundinidae
Exons: 3
Source: RefSeq, a predicted model, not a curated record
GCACCUGGAGGAGACUUGCCAGGCUCCUGGGAUGCUUUCAUGAUGCCCAGCAUCUUGCUGUGUGGGCUUUAGUGGGGUGACCUGGACUGGCAGGAAAGCCUUUGCCUGGGGUCUAGGAAACGGAAUGUUGCUUGUAGCACUGCCUGAGUACUCCUGGCCUUGGGAAGGUCAGACUGUUCUGCUCCCUGUUCUUGCAGCUCUUCUCUUCACCACCUCCUUCUAGCCAAAACAGCGCCUCUCUUUCCACGGCUUCCCCACUUUCCCAGCCUGUGACUCUGGAGAGCUGAGUGCAGCUGGCCACCACCAGCCUGCAGGAGACCUGCUGGCAUUGCUCUGAAGGAGCUACUGAACUGUGUUUCUUUGGGGAAGAACCUCCCUCAGAUGCCUUAAUAGAGUGGCAGUGUUUCUUUUCUCCCUGGGCAAAGAGGAAGAGGAGAAGGAGAAGGCAGGGCAAGGCAACAGCUUUUGCUCCUCUCUGUGGUUCUCUGGCCAGGAGACUUCUGCCGAUGCAGUAGGGGAAAGUGUCUUUGACUCAGGCUCCUGUUCACCAUGACGCAUUUCAGCCCUGCUGCAGCCUGCUCUGACCACUCGCC